GACGAACGCUGGCGGCGUGCUUAACACAUGCAAGUCGAACGGAAAGCCCUGGUUUUGUGGGGUGCUCGGGUGGCGAACGGGGGAGGAAAACGGGAGUAACCUGCCCUUGACUUUGGGGUAACUUCAGGAAACUGGGGCUAAUACCGGAUAGGAGCUCCUGCUGCAUGGGGGGGGGUGGGAAGUUUCGGCGGUUGGGGAUGGACUCGCGGCUUAUCAGCUUGUUGGUGGGGUAGUGGCUUACCAAGGCUUUGACGGGUAGCCGGCCUGAGAGGGUGACCGGCCACAUUGGGACUGAGAUACGGCCCAGACUCCUACGGGAGGCAGCAGUGGGGAAUAUUGCACAAUGGGCGGAAGCCUGAUGCAGCAACGCCGCGUGCGGGAUGACGGCCUUCGGGUUGUAAACCGCUUUCGCCUGUGACGAAGCGUGAGUGACGGUAAUGGGUAAAGAAGCACCGGCUAACUACGUG
This 467-nucleotide ribosomal RNA is filed under the name uncultured bacterium. RNAcentral describes it as "partial 16S ribosomal RNA". It matches the Rfam family "Bacterial small subunit ribosomal RNA", at positions 28 to 507 of the family's 1533-position model. The record is from RNAcentral.